UGUUCUGUAGUUUAAAAAACACUAUGCUUUCAAAAUAGAAAAGUACUAAAUCCUAAAGUACCAGAACUU
This 69-nucleotide transfer RNA is filed under the name Crenidorsum sp. RNAcentral's name for it is "tRNA-Gln". The record is from RNAcentral. Lineage: Eukaryota; Metazoa; Arthropoda; Insecta; Hemiptera; Aleyrodidae.